UGCUGAUGAUGCGGAUAGUCCUCAAGAAAAGCUUUGAAUCUCUCCCAGGCAUAAUAUAAGUUCUCUUUUGCUGUCUGUUUAAAACUCACAAUCUCACUGCAUAAUUU
Non-coding RNA from Capsicum annuum, 107 nucleotides. The record is from Rfam. NCBI's taxonomy places the organism in Eukaryota, Viridiplantae, Streptophyta, Magnoliopsida, Solanales, Solanaceae.